AGUAGAGAAGCCUCAGUCCUGGAAGGAGGAGCAGGAGACAGCACACGGAGGCCAGCUCAGCAAGAGCCAACGGCUGCCAGCAGCAUCUCCUACUGAGGAAGCAGCAAUCUAGGUUUGCUACAUAGAAUUAUAAGACAGAGAUGAUGUUAUAUUUAUAAUUCCACAUCUGGUUUUUUUGAUGUAAUGUCUUAACAUAAACAUUCCAACUUGGAUAUAAACAGUUGAAGGCAACUGGCAUGAAGGCUCCACCCCCUGGAUCUCUGAACAGAACCGAGAGCCUCCCCCGCUUGCACAUCAGAAGCCGCCAGUGCCCGGAGUGGACCUUGACCAGACCGAGGCCUUUC
Neogale vison (American mink) is the source of this 344-nucleotide long non-coding RNA. RefSeq lists it as uncharacterized. The record is from RefSeq and is a predicted model, not a curated record. Lineage: Eukaryota; Metazoa; Chordata; Mammalia; Carnivora; Mustelidae. The transcript has 3 exons.